Molecule: ribosomal RNA, 198 nt
Filed under: uncultured bacterium
Lineage: Bacteria
Description: partial 16S ribosomal RNA
Rfam family: Bacterial small subunit ribosomal RNA
Source: RNAcentral
ACGCUCGACACCUACGGGAGCAGCAGUGGGGAAUAUUGCACAAUGGGGGAAACCCUGAUGCAGCGACGCCGCGUGAGUGAAGAAGUAUUUCGGUAUGUAAAGCUCUAUCAGCAGGGAAGAAGAUGACGGUACCUGAGUAAGAAGCCCCGGCUAACUACGUGCCAACAGCCGCGGUAAUCUGAGCGGGCGUGGCAAGGC